Molecule: regulatory RNA element, 107 nt
Organism: Jeotgalibaca sp. PTS2502
Lineage: Bacteria; Bacillati; Bacillota; Bacilli; Lactobacillales; Carnobacteriaceae
Rfam family: THF (Tetrahydrofolate) riboswitch aptamer
About the family: THF riboswitch presents a pseudoknot that joins P1-P2 and the loop of P3 and two THF binding.
Source: Rfam
AUCAGAGUAGAGAAUGAAGCGUUAAGUGUCGGAUGGAUGGGAUGUUGCCUCCGAACGAAAAGUAAAGGGAGACCUUUAUUUGCGGUUUUGUUCUUGCAUUCGCUGCA